This 672-nucleotide long non-coding RNA is filed under the name Aotus nancymaae (Ma's night monkey). RNAcentral describes it as "lncRNA (ENSANAG00000038648.1)". Lineage: Eukaryota; Metazoa; Chordata; Mammalia; Primates; Aotidae. The record is from RNAcentral.
UAGGGUAUGUAACAGUAGCCGGACUGAACUCAAGCUCAGGACAGGAACACAGAGUGUACUUACCUGGCCUCUCCACCUCCCACAUCACCCCACAAAUACUUGGCUAGGCACAUGGAGUCUCAAUUGCCUCAAAAAAUGCAACACUAAUUUUUUGUUUUAUGUUUAAAUUCACUUAUUAAAAUGGAACAAAACAUUUUUUCCCUUAGAUUUAAUUCACUUUCAAGUAAUCUGUAUGAAGAAGUUGAAAAUAAUAAAAAAUGGACAGAAAACCAAUUUAUCAAAUAUAGAAAAGACCACCUGGGCCAUAUAAAUGAAUGUCUGGAGGUCCUACAGGAGAAACUGGAAAAGUCUGAAAAUAAAAUGGAAGAAAAACUGCUGCAGCUUUCAAGCAAAGUAGAGAAUUUCAUUAACACACAGAAACAGGAAACACAACUAAGUAAAGUAAAGCUUAUGGAAAAUAAAUUGUCCAAAAAGAUGGAACUAAUGGAAAAGCAGAUCUGGGGUGAAUUACAGACAAUGCAGAAUGAAUAUCAAUCAGGAUUUAAAUCAAUUCAUGACUCUCUCAGCUCCCUCCAACAAAUACAGAAAACAAAGAUGGAUUUAGAGAAAUAUAAAGUCCAGAAAGACCUGAAGAAAUUACAGUGUAAGAUAGUGGAAAUGCAGGAAGUAUAA